RNAcentral lists this unclassified non-coding RNA (225 nucleotides) under plant metagenome. RNAcentral describes it as "partial contains small subunit ribosomal RNA, internal transcribed spacer 1, and 5.8S ribosomal RNA". The record is from RNAcentral.
UUUCCGUAGGUGAACCUGCGGAAGGAUCAUUAGUGAAUUGUAUAUGUUAGCGCACCUCUUCGGUUUCCCUAGCAUCAAAUCAUAUACAUAACACCUUUUAACUGUAAGACUGUCUUGAGAACUAAAGUGAUGAACGCGUCUGUCCAUUUUAUGCAAACAUUUAGGUAACAAACGUAGUCUUCUUAUAAUCUAAUAAAACUUUCAACAACGGAUCUCUUGGUUCUC